RNAcentral lists this ribosomal RNA (253 nucleotides) under uncultured bacterium. RNAcentral describes it as "partial 16S ribosomal RNA". It matches the Rfam family "Bacterial small subunit ribosomal RNA", at positions 57 to 305 of the family's 1533-position model. The record is from RNAcentral.
GCAAGUCGAGGGGUAACAGAAGUAGCUUGCUACUAGAUGACGACCGGCGCACGGGUGAGUAACACGUAUGCAACCUACCUUUUACAGAGGGAUAGCCCAGAGAAAUUUGGAUUAAUACCUCAUAGUAUUUUAAAAUCGCAUGAUUUAAAAAUUAAAACUCCGGUGGUAAGAGAUGGGCGUGCGUUCUAUUAGUUAGUUGGUGAGGUAACGGCUCACCAAGGCGACGAUAGAUAGGGGUUCUGAGAGGAUAGUC